This 468-nucleotide ribosomal RNA is filed under the name uncultured bacterium. RNAcentral's name for it is "partial 16S ribosomal RNA". It matches the Rfam family "Bacterial small subunit ribosomal RNA", at positions 28 to 507 of the family's 1533-position model. The record is from RNAcentral.
GACGAACGCUGGCGGCGUGCUUAACACAUGCAAGUCGAACGGAAAGGCCCUGCUUUUGUGGGGUGCUCGAGUGGCGAACGGGUGAGUAACACGUGAGUAACCUGCCCUUGACUUUGGGAUAACUUCAGGAAACUGGGGCUAAUACCGGAUAGGAGCUCCUGCUGCAUGGUGGGGGUGGGAAAGUUUCGGCGGUUGGGGAUGGACUCGCGGCUUAUCAGCUUGUUGGUGGGGUAGUGGCUUACCAAGGCUUUGACGGGUAGCCGGCCUGAGAGGGUGACCGGCCACAUUGGGACUCGGAUGCCGCCCAGACUCCUACGGGAGGCAGCAGUGGGGAAUAUUGCACAAUGGGCGGAAGCCUGAUGCAGCAACGCCGCGUGCGGGAUGACGGCCUUCGGGUUGUAAACCGCUUUCGCCUGUGACGAAGCGUGAGUGACGGUAAUGGGUAAAGAAGCACCGGCUAACUACGUG